This 447-nucleotide ribosomal RNA is filed under the name uncultured bacterium. RNAcentral describes it as "partial 16S ribosomal RNA". It matches the Rfam family "Bacterial small subunit ribosomal RNA", at positions 29 to 523 of the family's 1533-position model. The record is from RNAcentral.
AACGAACGCUGGCGGCAGGCUUAACACAUGCAAGUCGAACGCCCCGCAAGGGGAGUGGCAGACGGGUGAGUAACGCGUGGGAAUCUACCGUACCCUACGGAACAACAGUUGGAAACGACUGCUAAUACCGUAUACGCCCUUAGGGGGAAAGAUUUAUCGGGGUAUGAUGAGCCCGCGUUGGAUUAGCUAGUUGGUGGGGUAAAGGCCUACCAAGGCGACGAUCCAUAGCUGGUCUGAGAGGAUGAUCAGCCACAUUGGGACUGAGACACGGCCCAAACUCCUACGGGAGGCAGCAGUGGGGAAUAUUGGACAAUGGGCGCAAGCCUGAUCCAGCCAUGCCGCGUGAGUGAUGAAGGUCUUAGGAUUGUAAAGCUCUUUCACCGGUGAAGAUAAUGACGGUAACCGGAGAAGAAGCCCCGGCUAACUACGUGCCAGCCGCCGCCGUAA